This 694-nucleotide long non-coding RNA is filed under the name Olea europaea subsp. europaea. The record is from RNAcentral. Lineage: Eukaryota; Viridiplantae; Streptophyta; Magnoliopsida; Lamiales; Oleaceae.
ACGGUCAAUAAAUUGAAACAUUUAGUGGGCCCAAAAGCUUUAUACAACAUGUGGAAUAUAAGGCCGAAGAAAAAAAUAAAUUCUUGCAAACUCCCAUUAUAUGAAUUAGCAAUCCAAACGAAACCUAUAAAACUCUUGGAUCUAAAAAAGUUCAAUAAGUUGAUAAGGGCCACAAAAUAAGAAUAAUUAGCUUAUAGGGAAAAGAUGGGCCUAGGGGAAGUAAUUUCAAGCCCAAUUUCACAUUAUUCGAAAACCCAAUCAAGAGUAUUCUUCAAAAAUGUUGACUCACCAACAACAAAGGUAUAUAUUAACAUGUAGGAGCUGCCCCCAGGGCAUAUCUCCCAGUGGCAAAGGGGAGGGCGGAUAGGGUUCAGCGCGGCAGUGUGCAGAGUUCGAUUCCCCGCAAGGUGGAAUUGGCUUUGUUGCAAGCGGGAGUUACCAUAUGGGUUAACAGCCUUGGCCUAUCCAUGUGCUCUCCACCCUGGCUCCUGGGAGGCACAUCCUGCGAUUUACCUCCUCCACGAUGGCCCAGGGCAGGGUCGGUGGGGGCCCCUAAGGUUGGGGUUCAACCUUUUAACAUGUAGGAGCCAACUUCAUUGACCAGCAAAAAGGGUUGAAAUAGACAGCUUUUCUUGGUUUAAAAUGCACGCCAUCUUCACGUGUUGUCUCCAUCAACAUUGAAUGUUGACACAGU